RNAcentral lists this ribosomal RNA (251 nucleotides) under uncultured bacterium. RNAcentral describes it as "partial 16S ribosomal RNA". It matches the Rfam family "Bacterial small subunit ribosomal RNA", at positions 8 to 224 of the family's 1533-position model. The record is from RNAcentral.
AGAGUUUGAUCCUGGCUCAGGAUAAACGCUGGCGGCGCACAUAAGACAUGCAAGUCGAACGGAAGUCGUUAUAAAAGGAGAGAAGAUUUAUCGGAUUGAAUUUUAUAACAAUGGCUUUAGUGGCGGACUGGUGAGUAACGCGUAAGGAACCUACCUAUUAGAGGGGAACAACAAUGAGAAAUCAUUGCUAAUACCGCAUAUGCCAUAACUACCGCAUGGUAGAAGUGUAGAAAGGAGUAAUUCGCUGAUAG